This 143-nucleotide small RNA is filed under the name Escherichia coli. Its description in RNAcentral is "RtT sRNA". It matches the Rfam family "RtT RNA". From Rfam's summary of the family: This family represents a bacterial cis-regulatory element known as RtT RNA. The exact function of RtT is unknown although it is thought that it may be involved in changing the cellular response in relation to amino acid starvation. The record is from RNAcentral. Lineage: Bacteria; Pseudomonadati; Pseudomonadota; Gammaproteobacteria; Enterobacterales; Enterobacteriaceae.
AUUCUGCCCAAGCGGAGAAGGAUGAGAAGCUUCGACUAAGGUUCGACUAAGGUUCGACUCGAGCGCCAGCGAGAGAGCGUUGCCGCAGGCAACGACCUGAAGGGCGAAGCGCGCAGCGCUGAGUAAUCCUUCCCCCACCACCA